UCGGGAACUUUGGGCAAUGGGCGAAAGCCUGACCCAGCAACGCCGCGUGAAGGAUGAAGUAUUUCGGUAUGUAAACUUCGAAAGAAUAGGAAGAAUAAAUGACGGUACUAUUUAUAAGGUCCGGCUAACUACGUGCCAGCAGCCGCGGUAAUACGUAGGGACCAAGCGUUGUUCGGAUUUACUGGGCGUAAAGGGCGCGUAGGCGGCAAUUCAAGUCAUCUGUGAAAUCUCCGGGCUUAACUCGGAACGGUCAGAUGAUACUGCUUUGCUAGAGUGCAGAAGGGGCAAUCGGAAUUCUUGGUGUAGCGGUGAAAUGCGUAGAUAUCAAGAGGAACACCUGAGGUGAAGACGGGUUGCUGGGCUGACACUGACGCUGAGGCGCGAAAGCCAGGGGAGCAAACGGGAUUAGAUACCCAUGUAGUCCCUGAGCGGGCUGGCAAGGCGCAU
This 447-nucleotide ribosomal RNA is filed under the name uncultured bacterium. RNAcentral describes it as "bacterial SSU rRNA". It matches the Rfam family "Bacterial small subunit ribosomal RNA", at positions 355 to 825 of the family's 1533-position model. The record is from RNAcentral.